CCUACGGGUGGCAGCAGUGGGGAAUCUUGCACAAUGGGGGAAACCCUGAUGCAGCGACGCCGCGUGAAGGAAGAAGUAUUUCGGUAUGUAAACUUCUAUCAGCAGGGAAGAAAAUGACGGUAACUGACUAAGAAGCACCGGCUAACUACGUGCCAGCAGCCGCGGUAAUACGUAGGGGGCAAGCGUUAUCCGGAUUGACUGGGUGAAAAGGGAGCGUAGGCGGUGCAGCAAGUCAGAAGUGAAAGCCCGAGGCUCAACCCCGGGACUGCUUUUGAAACUGUUGAACUAGAGUGCAGGAGAGGUGAGUGGAAUUCCUAGUGUAGCGGUGAAAUGCGUAGAUAUUAGGAGGAACACCAGUGGCGAAGGCGGCUUACUGGACUGUAAAUGACGCUGAGGCUCGAAAGCGUGGGGAGCAAACAGGAUUAGAUACCCUGGUAGUC
RNAcentral lists this ribosomal RNA (440 nucleotides) under uncultured bacterium. RNAcentral describes it as "partial 16S ribosomal RNA". It matches the Rfam family "Bacterial small subunit ribosomal RNA", at positions 338 to 795 of the family's 1533-position model. The record is from RNAcentral.